UACGGAGGAUCCAAGCGUUAUCCGGAUUUAUUGGGUUUAAAGGGUGCGUAGGCGGCUAUUUAAGUCAGGGGUGAAAGACGGUGGCUCAACCAUCGCAGUGCCUUUGAUACUGAAUAGCUUGAAUACACUAGAGGUAGGCGGAAUGUGACAAGUAGCGGUGAAAUGCAUAGAUAUGUCACAGAACACCAAUUGCGAAGGCAGCUUACUAUGGUGUUAUUGACGCUGAGGCACGAAAGCGUGGGGAUCAAACAGG
This 253-nucleotide ribosomal RNA is filed under the name uncultured bacterium. RNAcentral's name for it is "partial 16S ribosomal RNA". It matches the Rfam family "Bacterial small subunit ribosomal RNA", at positions 524 to 776 of the family's 1533-position model. The record is from RNAcentral.